Molecule: long non-coding RNA, 3563 nt
Organism: Neofelis nebulosa (Clouded leopard)
Lineage: Eukaryota; Metazoa; Chordata; Mammalia; Carnivora; Felidae
Exons: 3
Source: RefSeq, a predicted model, not a curated record
GGGGCAGAGAGAGACACACACACACACAGAAUCUGAAGCAGGCUCCAGGCUCUGAGCUGUCAGCACAGAGCCCGACGCGAGGCUCGAACUCACAAACCGCAAGAUCAUGACCUGAGCCAAAGUCGGACGCUCAACCGACUGAGCCACCCAGGCGCCCCUAUUACAGAUAUUGUUAUAAUCAUUCUAUCUUGUUGUUGUUGCUACUCUUUUACUGUGCCUCAUUUGCAAAUUAAACUUUAUCAUAGCGUGUAUGCCCAGGAAAAAAUGUGUGUGUGUGUGUGUGUGUGUGUGUGUGUGUGUGUGUGUGGUUCAGUACUCUCUGAGGUUUCAAGGCUUUAUAAGUCGUCAUCGGGAUCUUGGAAUGUAUCCCUGGUGGAUGAGAGGGGACUUACUUUCUUGCCUCCCUGCCUCACCAGGAGGAAAACAGAAUAAAGGGAGAGACUGGCCUGCGAUCACUGCCUACCUGGCCUCCAUUUCCUCCACCCCACAAAAGGAGAAGCAUUAGACUUGCAGCCCGCUGUCUGCUCAGCAUCUCCCCACACGAUAGAGGCCCAGGGUUCCAUCCCUGAUCAAACUCCUUGUAUAUAGGAGCCUUUGUGAUUUGCCCCGGCCCACCUGUGCCUUGCCCAGGUCAGAGUCCUCGUUCCUUGUCGGGGGAAGUCUGGGCUCUCUCCCUGCAGACUUCACCUCCCUCCUCAGUGCCGCUCCAGGAGUUGUUCCCUGGGACCUGAAUGAUGGCUGAGCACGGAGCAGAGCACCCCAGUGGUCCCCCCGACUUCAUGACUGUUGUAGAUUUCCAGGGAGCUCCGGCUUCUCUCUCACUGGGAGUUGCACACGGGGUACUUGUCACCGUGAGUGGUCUUAGGUAGGAGUGCCUCAGCCAGCUCAGAUUCUGACACCUGGGUACCUAGCCAAACUCCCCUCCAGUCAAAGCUGAGGAUUCUAACCCUGGUGACCCCACCUGGUUGUAUUUCCACAGCGGGACCCUGGGGGACCCCUAUUGCUGAGACUUCUGGGGCCGAGCCCCUGGAGGCACCCAAGGACCUGGGAGCAAGGCAGACAGGUGUCCACCUCUUCCGGGUAUAGUUCUUCACCCAUAAAAGUCACUUUGUUGGUUCAUAAGGGCCGAUGCUGGUGAUAUGGACUGUCCCUAAGGUCUGCCUCCCUGGAGCGGUGGCUGAGGGGGAGGGUGAUAGCAGCCAGAUCGUAGCAUCCACAAACACCUGGCAGCCCCCAGGGAGCUGAGGCUGGCGUUGUUCCCCCACACUUCUGACUGGGGGAGGGCAGCUGGGGGCUCUGAGUGCAGUGACAUGGGUUUGGGGGGUCAUCAGUCAUCGUUCUAGGUGGUAAAGCCAUAGGGCAGGGCAGAAGCUCACACAGUUGGACCUAGAAUGGAGUCCUGGGGGUCCCGCGUGCAUUUUGGGGCUCUCCGUUGGGAACUGUGUGAGAGUGGAACGGGGUCAGCCGGCCCGCCAUGUUGGCAGUGAUGGAGUCACCGCAGCGUGGCCCCAACUCAGGAGUGUCAGGAGGCCAUGCAGGGACACCGGCUGCACUGACAUCUGCUCCCACUAGGGGACACCAGCGCACCACUCUGGAGGCUCCUCAGUGGGGUUUGCGCUCGCAAGUCCCUUGUCCCAAGCAGCCGAAGGUGUCCUUGCCCCCUUAUUGGUGCUCAACAUGCACCAAUGUCAGAAACGUGACCCAGGCCAAUGCUGAGGCCCUUCCUCCCCAGAACAAGGGAGAGAAUGAGGGGGUAAAGGAAGUGGUCACACAGAGGUGUAGGGAAGUACCUGUUUGACCCAAACGUGCCCCACUCUGAAAAGGUCUGACGUUUCUCGGGGGUCCUCCCCCUCCCCCGCAGGCCCCUGGGAACACAGGCUGCUCCCAGGUAGGCACGCCCCUCAGCCUCUAUCAGCCUCCCAGACAGGGAGGGUGCCUUCCUGUGGAAUGAGGGGUGCAGGCAGCAUUCCCUCCACACCAGAAAUCUUGACCUGGGCCUGCAGGGGAGGUGCCCAGUGGUGUGGGCCUUGGGCCCUCACAAAGCCUUGGCUCCUGCCCUUGGAAGAACAGACGCUGGCAGUCUGCACUGAAGGGAAAGGAGCUCUGUAAUCCGAGCCAAGUUAAACUUGACUAAGUUCAAUGUGAAAAGCAAGGGAAUGGACUCCGAAUAGGCCCGAGACCACUGCCCAGACAGCGCCCCAAGGCUCCGUCACCUUGAGCUGUGGUAACGUGCUGAGCAGUUUCUCCUCAGCGGCUCCUCAGGUGACGGAGCACAGGCGACCCCAAGGCCUCAGGACCCUGCAGACAUGCUGCCUCCCUGCUCCCCGCGCGGCCCUGGAGGCUUCCAUCUUCUACAAAACCCCAGUUGAAAGACCUUGUUCUUGAAUUAUCCUGCGUCUUGCCCAAGCCUUUCUUGCCAUAAGGACAUAUUGUGAUCAUUUUUCUCGAAUUCUGUCAGACAGACGUGAUGUCCACUGCCUUUUGUCCGACAAUAGGAACUACCUAAACCCAACUUACUUCCCUGCUUGCCUUCCUGUUAGGAAAUUUUGAAACUAAAUUCUGUGUCUGUCUGCAGUUAAUUAUGAGCUCACCGUGACCUGGUCAGGUCCCCUGCUUUGAUCCUCUGAUGACUGACCCAGUUUAGUAGUAGAUAAUGUAGAAUCCCACCAUUAUGAGGUCAGCAUGGCACACAGCUGAACAAUGAACAUUUAUUUCUACAUCAAGUGGGAUUUCGGGCCUCGCAGAUGUGCCCGAGUUUCUCCCCUACUGAGGGGCCCAGCAGAGCCAGGAAAGGUGAAGAGGGAGUUCAGGCCUCAUGAGUGUGUCCAAGGCGAUCUCUUCACAUAGGACCCAGAGAGGGGACCGACCAGCCAAAUUAGGGGACAGUGAGGCUUGGAGCAGGUGGCGCUGUUGCCGUUUGGAAACAGGGCUGGUGGGAAAGGGCCGCCCCACUGGAUCGAAGUUGCCGUAGUAGUCCAGUUCCCAGCCCUCCAGAUGGGAAGGAGUGACUUUAUUGUUCCCUAGAGCUAUGCCAGCUCCGUUGCUAAGUCUUCUGGAAACUUCUAGGAUAUGCUAACUCACAGGCCUAAGGAUUAUUAAAAUAACCCAAGAUGCUGAGGAACAGUCAUAUGAAAGCCAACCCCGCUUGGAACUCCCAGACCCGUCAUCCUCACCAAGGGCUACUUCAUGUCCCCUCCUGGCCCCACCGGAGGACCUUCGACAGGGAUGGCAAAGUGACCCACAGAGCAAGUGCAGCCCUCCAGCCGGUUUCUGCAAAUAAAGUUUUAUUGGCACGCCGACCACCUCAAUGCUCACCGUGGCUGUAUUUGCACUACAAGGUAGAGUUGAAUAGUUGCCAUGAGACCCUACAGUCUGCAGAGCCUAACAUAUUUACUGUCUGGCCCUUUACCGAAAAAGUUUGCCAAACACUGAUCCAGAACGUACACAGCAAAAAAGCCUGAGAGUUGGGGCGCCUGGGUGGCUCAGUCGGUUGAGCGUCCGACUUCGGCUCAGGUCAUGGCCUCGUGGUUCGUGAGUUCGAGCCCCGCGUCGGGCUCUGUGCU